AUGGUGCUGUUUAAUGCCAGGUCAGUGAACGAGAAAACAUCUUUCAUCCAAGACCUCAUCUUGGAUGAGCAUGUAGACCCGGCAUGUAUUACGGAGACCUGGCUGGAUGAGAUGGGAGGAGUUAAUCUCACCCAGCUCUGCCCGCCAGGUUACUCCGUACAGCACCAGCCGAGAUCUGGAGGGAGGGGAGGUGGGGUCGCGGUGGUCUAUAAGGAUUCCAUCCCCCUGACGAGGUGCCCCAUCCUGCAGUCGACCAUGUUUGAACGUGUCCACCUGAGGGUGGGAGACCGGGACAGAUUAGGGAUUCUGCUAGUGUACCGACCACACCGCUGCACUACAGUCUCCCUGCCUGAGCUAGCUGAGGUGGUCUCGGGCCUGGCGUUGGAGUCCCAGCGGCUCAUAGUGCUGGGGGACUUCAAUGUCCAUGCUGAGACUAACCUUUCUGGUGUGGCUCAGGACUUCAUGGCCGCCAUGGCAACCAUGGGGCUGUCCCAAUUAUUAUCUGGUCCCACCCACAGUGCAGGGCACACACUAGACCUGGUCUUCUGUCAGGGAUGGGAGGAAGGUGGCGGUGUGGAGGAGCUCACCAUCACUCCUUUGCCAUGGACCGACCAUCACCUGAUCAGAUUUAGACUUACUGCGCCCCCCAACCUCUGCAGGGGUGGUGGACCUAAAAUGGUCCGCCCCAGGAGACUUAUGGAUCCAGAAGGAUUCCUGACGGCUCUUGGGGAAUUUCCCGCCUCCUCAGCAGGUGAUCCUGUUGAUGCUCUGGUCUCUCUCUGGAAUGGAGAAAUGACUAGGGCAAUAGACACGAUCGCUCCGGAGCGUCCCCUCUCGAGUAACCGAGCUAAACCAGCUCCCUGGUUUACUGAGGAGCUGGCAGCGAUGAAGCGAAAGAAGAGGGAACUAGAGUGCAUGUGGCGAUCAGAGUAUAACGAGUCAGACCGAACACGGCUAGGCUCCUAUCUUAGGGCUUAUGCCACGGCAAUCAAAGCCGCAAGGAGAGUCCACCUUGCAGCCAACAUUGCGUCCGCACAGAACCGUCCAGCGGCGCUGUUCCAUGUCAUCAGAGGGUUGUUAACUCCCACCAAUCAAGGUGGGAGCCCUGAUAACUCGGCAGUCCGCUGUGAAGCAUUUGCUCGGUUCUUUGCGGACAAAGUCGCUCUUAUCCGUUCCGACUUUGACACCAUAUUAAUGGCAGUCUCUGAGCACCUGCUUGUCCAGUUUUGUUGGAUUCAUUUCAAUUGGUUGAGCUCGAGGAUGUGGACAAGAUCCUUUGAGAGGCGAGACCGACCACGUGCAUCCUGGACCCCUGCCCAUCCUGGCUGGUGA
RNAcentral lists this long non-coding RNA (1332 nucleotides) under Anolis carolinensis (green anole). Its description in RNAcentral is "lncRNA (ENSACAG00000029338.2)". The record is from RNAcentral. Lineage: Eukaryota; Metazoa; Chordata; Lepidosauria; Squamata; Anolidae.